AUACGUAGGUCACGAGCGUUAUCCGGAAUUAUUGGGCGUAAAGAGUGAGCAGGCGGCAAGGUAAGUUUGGAGUGAAAGCGUGGGGCUUAACCCCAUACAGCUUCGAAAACUACCUAGCUAGAGUAUGUGAGAGGUCAACGGAACUCCAUGUGUAGCGGUGAAAUGCGUAGAUAUAUGGAAGAACACCGGUGGCGAAGGCGGUUGACCAGCACAAUACUGACGCUCAGUCACGAAAGCGUGGGGAGCAAAUAGGAUUAGAUACCCUAGUAGUCCACGCCGUAAACGAUGAUGACUAACUAUUGCCGUGAGGCAGUGGUGAAGCUAACGCAUUAAGUCAUCCGCCUGGGAAGUACGGUCGCAAGACUGAA
RNAcentral lists this ribosomal RNA (368 nucleotides) under uncultured bacterium. Its description in RNAcentral is "bacterial SSU rRNA". It matches the Rfam family "Bacterial small subunit ribosomal RNA", at positions 523 to 898 of the family's 1533-position model. The record is from RNAcentral.